AAAGGGUGUGUAGGCGGUUGUGUUAGUCUUUUGUUAAAUUCUUCGGCUUAACCGGGGGUCUGCGAAGGAAACGGCACAACUAGAGGAUGCGAGAGGUGAAUGGAACUCAUGGAGUAGGGGUGAAAUCCGUUGAUAUCAUGGGGAACACCAAAUGCGAAGGCAAUUCACUGGCGCACUCCUGACGCUGAGACACGAAAGCGUAGGUAGCGAAUGGGAUUAGAUACCCGGGU
RNAcentral lists this ribosomal RNA (230 nucleotides) under uncultured bacterium. RNAcentral describes it as "partial 16S ribosomal RNA". It matches the Rfam family "Bacterial small subunit ribosomal RNA", at positions 562 to 791 of the family's 1533-position model. The record is from RNAcentral.